This 404-nucleotide ribosomal RNA is filed under the name uncultured bacterium. Its description in RNAcentral is "partial 16S ribosomal RNA". It matches the Rfam family "Bacterial small subunit ribosomal RNA", at positions 28 to 526 of the family's 1533-position model. The record is from RNAcentral.
GACGAACGCUGGCGGCGUGCCUAAUACAUGCAAGUCGAACGGAGUGGGGACGGGUGAGGAACACGUGGGUAAGCUCGCCAUCAGAGGGGAUAACACUGGGAAACAGGUGCUAAACCGGUACGAAUGGAUGGACCGGGGGUGCAUGAGCUAGUGGGGGAGGUAACGGCACACCAAGGCCACGAUGCAUAGCUGACCUGAGAGGGUGACCGGCCACACUGGGACGGAGACACGGCCCAGACUCCUACGGGAGGCAGCAGUAGGGAAUCUUCGGCAAUGGACGAAAGUCUGACCGAGCAACGCCGCGUGAGUGAAGAAGGCUUUCGGAUCGUAAAACUCUGUUGUUAGAGAAGCGGUAUCUAACCAGAAAGCCACGGCUAACUACGUGCCAGCAGCCGCGGUAAUAC